GACGAACGCUGGCGGCGUGCUUAACACAUGCAAGUCGAACGGAAAGGCCCUGCUUUUGUGGGGUGCUCGAGUGGCGAACGGGUGAGUAACACGUGAGUAACCUGCCCCUGACUUUGGGAUAACUUCAGGAAACUGGGGCUAAUACCGGAUAGGAGCUCCUGCUGCAUGGUGGGGGUUGGAAAGUUUCGGCGGUUGGGGAUGGACUCGCGGCUUAUCAGCUUGUUGGUGGGGUAGUGGCUUACCAAGGCUUUGACGGGUAGCCGGCCUGAGAGGGUGACCGGCCACAUUGGGACUGAGAUACGGCCCAGACUCCUACGGGAGGCAGCAGUGGGGAAUAUUGCACAAUGGGCGGAGGCCUGAUGCAGCAACGCCGCGUGCGGGAUGACGGCCUUCGGGUUGUAAACCGCUUUCGCCUGUGACGAAGCGUGAGUGACGGUAAUGGGUAAAGAAGCACCGGCUAACUACGUG
This 468-nucleotide ribosomal RNA is filed under the name uncultured bacterium. RNAcentral's name for it is "partial 16S ribosomal RNA". It matches the Rfam family "Bacterial small subunit ribosomal RNA", at positions 28 to 507 of the family's 1533-position model. The record is from RNAcentral.